AAGGAAUAUUGGUCAAUGGACGCAAGUCUGAACCAGCCAUGCCGCGUGGAGGAUGAAGGUCCUCUGGAUUGUAAACUUCUUUUAUCUGGGAAGAAACCCAUAGAUUUUUCUGUGGUUGACGGUACCAGAUGAAUAAGCACCGGCUAACUCCGUGCCAGCAGCCGCGGUAAGACGGAGGGGGCUAGCGUUGUUCGGAAUUACUGGGCGUAAAGCGCACGUAGGCGGCCCUUCAAGUCAGAUGUGAAAGCCCCGGGCUUAACCCGGGAAUUGCAUUUGAUACUGUUGGGCUUGAGACCGGGAGAGGAUAGCGGAAUUCCCAGUGUAGAGGUGAAAUUCGUAGAUAUUGGGAAGAACACCAGUGGCGAAGGCGGCUAUCUGGACCGGUACUGACGCUGAGGUGCGAAAGCGUGGGGAGCAAA
RNAcentral lists this ribosomal RNA (419 nucleotides) under uncultured bacterium. RNAcentral describes it as "bacterial SSU rRNA". It matches the Rfam family "Bacterial small subunit ribosomal RNA", at positions 356 to 772 of the family's 1533-position model. The record is from RNAcentral.